CAAUAGCGUAUAUUUAAGUUGUUGCAGUUAAAAAGCUCGUAGUUGGAUUUCGGGUUGGCUUCAGCGGUCUCGCUUUGCGUUUGUACUGCCGCAGCCUUCCUUCUUGCUGGGGACGGUCCUCCGGGCUUCAUUGCUUGGGGUCUGGAAUCAGCGACGUUACUUUGAGUAAAUUAGAGUGUUCAAAGCAAGCCUACGCUCUGAAUAUAAUAGCAUGGGAUAACACGACAGGACUCUGGCCUAUCGGGUUGGUCUGUAGGACCAGAGUAAUGAUUAAGAGGGACAGUCGGGGGCAUUCGUAUUCCGUUGUCAGAGGUGAAAUUCUUGGAUUUACGGAAGACGAACAUCUGCGAAAGCAUUUGCCAAGGAUGUUUUCAUUGA
This 378-nucleotide ribosomal RNA is filed under the name uncultured eukaryote. RNAcentral's name for it is "partial 18S ribosomal RNA". It matches the Rfam family "Eukaryotic small subunit ribosomal RNA", at positions 592 to 976 of the family's 1831-position model. The record is from RNAcentral.